GGAGAGGUGGCAGAGCCUGGUUGAAUGCGACAGACUCGAAAUCUGUUAAGGAGGCAACUUCUUCGGGGGUUCGAAUCCCCCCCUCUCCG
RNAcentral lists this transfer RNA (89 nucleotides) under Oscillatoriales cyanobacterium RM2_1_1. RNAcentral describes it as "tRNA-Ser". It matches the Rfam family "tRNA". From Rfam's summary of the family: Transfer RNA (tRNA) molecules are approximately 80 nucleotides in length. Lineage: Bacteria; Bacillati; Cyanobacteriota; Cyanophyceae; Oscillatoriales. RNAcentral also lists the same sequence under 1 other name. The record is from RNAcentral.